CCUUUGAGGUAACCUCAAACCAAAGCUCGCUGUUCCCCGAAGAACAAAGAGAGAGUGAGAACGUUGUGCGGGUGCUUGGGAGCGCUCAGAUGGUCACAAGUCAGGAGGCCUGCUUGGAUUUUGCUGACUUUGCACCAGAAGGGUCUCACCAUGACCGGCAUUGAGGGUGGCGAGUGGCUUUGCCAAGUCAAAGGACUUUGAAGAAGUCACAUAGACCCCGUGGGCUGAUGGAGACUUAGAGACCUCUAGAGCGCAGUCAAGGAAAGUUUCUAUUCCAUAAAAACGUCUUAAGAAUCAUCAAAGGUAACCCUCAGGUACUUUGUGUGUGGCAGCACGGACUUCAUGACCUCAAAGUAGGCAGACCAGAGAGACGCU
RNAcentral lists this long non-coding RNA (375 nucleotides) under Equus asinus (donkey). Its description in RNAcentral is "lncRNA (ENSEASG00005024920.1)". Lineage: Eukaryota; Metazoa; Chordata; Mammalia; Perissodactyla; Equidae. The record is from RNAcentral.